UACGUAGGUGGCAAGCGUUGUCCGGAUUUACUGGGCGUAAAGGGCUUGUAGGCGGUUCGUUAAGUCCGGUGUGAAAUCUCCCGGCUCAACUGGGAGGGGUCACUGGAUACUGGCGAACUAGAGGGGGGUAGAGGAGAGCAGAAUUCCUGGUGUAGCGGUGAAAUGCGUAGAUAUCAGGAGGAAUACCAGUGGCGAAGGCGGCUCUCUGGGCCUACCCUGACGCUGAGGAGCGAAAGCGUGGGGAGCAAACCGG
This 253-nucleotide ribosomal RNA is filed under the name uncultured bacterium. RNAcentral describes it as "partial 16S ribosomal RNA". It matches the Rfam family "Bacterial small subunit ribosomal RNA", at positions 524 to 776 of the family's 1533-position model. The record is from RNAcentral.